RNAcentral lists this ribosomal RNA (443 nucleotides) under uncultured bacterium. Its description in RNAcentral is "partial 16S ribosomal RNA". It matches the Rfam family "Bacterial small subunit ribosomal RNA", at positions 339 to 795 of the family's 1533-position model. The record is from RNAcentral.
CUACGGGCGGCACCAGUGAGGAAUCUUCCGCAAUGGGCGAAAGCCUGACGGAGCGACACCGCGUGGAGGAUGAAACCCCUUGUGGGCGUAAACUCCUGUUCUGAGGGACGAAAUUUUUGACGGUACCUCAGGAGAAAGCACCGGCUAAUUCUGUGCCAGCAGCCGCGGUAAGACAGAAGGUGCGAGCGUUACUCGGAAUCACUGGGCGUAAAGCGUCCGCAGGCUUCUCCGUACGUCUGGCGUAAAAGCUCGGAGCUCAACUCCGGGUACGUGCCGGAACCUGCGGGGAUCGAGCCACACAGGGGCACCUGGAAUGCCGUGAGUAGGGGUAAAAUCCGUUGAUCCACGGUAGAACGCCGAAAGCGAAGGCAGGGUGCUGGGUGUGCGCUGACGCUCAAGGACGAAAGCGUGGGGAGCGACCCGGAUUAGAUACCCGAGUAGUC